Pelobates cultripes (western spadefoot toad) is the source of this 329-nucleotide non-coding RNA. The record is from the annotation of a GenBank genome assembly. Lineage: Eukaryota; Metazoa; Chordata; Amphibia; Anura; Pelobatidae.
UUAGAAAGUUAAAAAAACAGGGAGUCUACAAUUGCAACCACAACAAUAGCUACUCUGUAGAUCAGACCACAAAGCAGAAGCUCUCAGAGCUGUUAGAACUACUUGAACUCCCAUUACUCCUGGACAACAGCAAUAACUAUACAAUUCAACAGUCCAUAAAACAGUUAUUUAAUGGGAUAAACUGAUUCAAACAUAAUUUAAAAUUAGCAUAGUAACAGAAAUACUUGAAUAUUCUAAUUGUCAGUUACGUUGAACACUCUAUAUAUGCAGACCUUCUGAUUUAACAAUGUGCAGUCAAACCACACAUUAACUACAUUGUCACUUUUAAC